This 760-nucleotide ribosomal RNA is filed under the name Photobacterium sp. MR07-39. Its description in RNAcentral is "partial 16S ribosomal RNA". It matches the Rfam family "Bacterial small subunit ribosomal RNA", at positions 69 to 826 of the family's 1533-position model. Lineage: Bacteria; Pseudomonadati; Pseudomonadota; Gammaproteobacteria; Vibrionales; Vibrionaceae. The record is from RNAcentral.
CCUUCGGGUGANUUGUUGGGCGGCGAGCGGCGGACGGGUGAGUAAUGCCUGGGAAUAUGCCCUGAUGUGGGGGAUAACCAUUGGAAACGAUGGCUAAUACCGCAUAAUCUCUUCGGAGCAAAGAGGGGGACCUUCGGGCCUCUCGCGUCAGGAUUAGCCCAGGUGAGAUUANCUUGUUGGUGAGGUAAGAGCUCACCAAGGCAACGAUCUCUAGCUGGUCUGAGAGGAUGAUCAGCCACACUGGAACUGAGACACGGUCCAGACUCCUACGGGAGGCAGCAGUGGGGAAUAUUGCACAAUGGGGGAAACCCUGAUGCAGCCAUGCCGCGUGUAUGAAGAAGGCCUUCGGGUUGUAAAGUACUUUCAGUUGUGAGGAAGGCGUAUACGUUAAUAGCGUAUGUGUUUGACGUUAGCAACAGAAGAAGCACCGGCUAACUCCGUGCCAGCAGCCGCGGUAAUACGGAGGGUGCGAGCGUUAAUCGGAAUUACUGGGCGUAAAGCGCAUGCAGGCGGCUUGUUAAGCCAGAUGUGAAAGCCCGGGGCUCAACCUCGGAAUAGCAUUUGGAACUGGCAGGCUAGAGUCUUGNANAGGGGGGUAGAAUUUCNGGUGUAGCGGUGAAAUGCGUANAGAUCUGAAGGAAUACCGGUGGCGAAGGCGGCCCCCUGNACNAANACUGACGCUCAGAUGCGAAAGCGUGGGGAGCAAACAGGANUANAUACCCNGGNAGUCCACGCCGUANCGAUGNCNACUNGAGCUGGA